CGCUCACAUCAAAUCAUAGUGGUUGUAGCCUAAAGGUUAGUAGUAAUAGAUUUGGUUAGUCAGAUGCACGCUUUCUCCUAGUGGUAAAAAUAUGAAUAUGAUACUCUGGAUAACUUCCCGGGUGAAGUGCUCACCGAUAUCCGUGCGCUUGCGGAUCAUUUCCUGAUUGCAUUACCAAAUAUCAACAGCAGGGUCCCCAAUUGUAUAAGGUGCCGCACUACCCUCUCCAUGCUUUGUCCAAAUCAAGUAAUCCUUCAUAAAUCCUCGGC
Molecule: long non-coding RNA, 269 nt
Filed under: Sorghum bicolor (sorghum)
Lineage: Eukaryota; Viridiplantae; Streptophyta; Magnoliopsida; Poales; Poaceae
Description: long non-coding RNA (SBIC_LNC006641)
Source: RNAcentral